ACGGGUGAGUAACACGUGGGCAACCUGCCUGUAAGACUGGGAUAACUUCGGGAAACCGAAGCUAAUACCGGAUAGGAUCUUCUCCUUCAUGGGAGAUGAUUGAAAGAUGGUUUCGGCUAUCACUUACAGAUGGGCCCGCGGUGCAUUAGCUAGUUGGUGAGGUAACGGCUCACCAAGGCAACGAUGCAUAGCCGACCUGAGAGGGUGAUCGGCCACACUGGGACUGAGACACGGCCCAGACUCCUACGGGAGGCAGCAGUAGGGAAUCUUCCGCAAUGGACGAAAGUCUGACGGAGCAACGCCGCGUGAGUGAUGAAGGCUUUCGGGUCGUAAAACUCUGUUGUUAGGGAAGAACAAGUAUGAGAGUAACUGCUCGUACCUUGACGGUACCUAACCAGAAAGCCACGGCUAACUACGUGCCAGCAGCCGCGGUAAUACGUAGGUGGCAAGCGUUAUCCGGAAUUAUUGGGCGUAAAGCGCGCGCAGGCGGUUUCUUAAGUCUGAUGUGAAAGCCCACGGCUCAACCGUGGAGGGUCAUUGGAAACUGGGGAACUUGAGUGCAGAAGAGAAAAGCGGAAU
RNAcentral lists this ribosomal RNA (579 nucleotides) under uncultured bacterium. RNAcentral describes it as "bacterial SSU rRNA". It matches the Rfam family "Bacterial small subunit ribosomal RNA", at positions 102 to 667 of the family's 1533-position model. The record is from RNAcentral.